AUCUACGGCCAUACCACCCUGAACGUGCCUGACCUAGUCUGAUCUUGGAAGCUAAGCAGGGUUGGGCCUGGUUAGUACUUGGAUGGGAGACCACCUGGGAAAACAGGGUGCUGUAGGCA
RNAcentral lists this ribosomal RNA (119 nucleotides) under Aotus nancymaae (Ma's night monkey). Lineage: Eukaryota; Metazoa; Chordata; Mammalia; Primates; Aotidae. The record is from RNAcentral.